This 1668-nucleotide long non-coding RNA is filed under the name Piliocolobus tephrosceles (Ugandan red Colobus). RNAcentral describes it as "lncRNA (ENSPTEG00000000256.1)". Lineage: Eukaryota; Metazoa; Chordata; Mammalia; Primates; Cercopithecidae. The record is from RNAcentral.
AAGUUGUAAUUUAGAACAAUUUAUUUUAGCUCACUGAUUUCAUCUGGGUUAGUUUAUUGUUAAUGUAUUUUGGCUAUAUGAUUUUUAUUUUUUAUUGUUAAACUAUUGUUCAUUAUAUGUAUAUGUUCUUAUAUAUAUAUAUAUAACAGUGUACUACAUUUUUUUAAACUUUUUUUUUAUCAAUCUUUUGUUCAAACAUAUAUACAUAUAUGUAUAUGUAUAUAUAUAUGUAUAUAUAUGCAACAGUGUACUUUAUUUUUUUAACCUUUUUUUUUUUUUUUCUUUCUUUUUUGUCAAUUUUUUGUUCAUAUAUAUGUAUGCAUAUGUAUAUAUGAUAUUAUACUGUAUUUUAUUUUAUUUUAUUUUAUUUUUUGUUGUUUCACUUUGUUGAAAAAAUUGUGUAUUACUUUUAUUUUUUAAAUAUUUUUGUUUUAUAUGAACAUUUUUGUUAAUCAAAAAAAAAAAAAAAAAAAAAAAAAAAACCAAAAAAAUAAUCAAAAACAAUGUUAUUUAGUUUAAAUAAGCUAAUUUCCCAAAUGGAAGAAGUUGGAAGUAAAGCUUUAAACGUCAGUUCAACACAAACAAGUGGUUCUUCAAAUAAUAACAGCUCGUCAACCCAUACUAAUAAUAAAACUAUUGUACAUACUGCGACAUCUUUUCCUCCUACUACUACUGUUAUUUCUACUACAAAUGAUAGUACCAGUUCUAUUAACAAAAAAGACAUGAAAGGAGUUUUAAAUGAUGAAGUCGUGACAGAUACAAAAACUGAUACAGGCAAUAUAAAAAUAGAAACAAAUAAAUAUAGUAAGAAUAACAAUUCAAAUUUGCUGAAUGAAAAUAAAGAUACGACUAAUACUACUAGUGGUAGUCCAAAAAAGAAUAAUAGUGAUAGUGAGGUCCCCAAUAUGUCAUUUAAUGAUUGUUUAGAUGUGUCAGAAAGAAAAAUAAAUAUUAUUUCAAAUGGUAAUACAGGUGAUGUAAUAAAUGAAAAAAAGAAUAAAAAUGUAUUAUUGUCUAAAGAUGAUGAUAAUAAUCGAAGUCUUAAAGUAGAAGAAAAAAAUGAAAAUAAUAUGGACUAUUAUAAAAAUGAUAAUUUAUUUAACGACCAAUCAAGUUGUUCUUAUUCAACUGAUGUAUGUCAAAAAUAUUAUCAGUUGUAUAAUAAAGAAAUAAUGAGAAGCGAAAGUGAGUUACUUGAAGAAGAUAUUUUAGAAACGGACGAGCAAGAUAGUAUCGAACGAACUAGGAGUGAACGAGUGCAAGAACAGGCACAUUUGUUUAAAAGGAGUACAGAUGUAACAUUACCAGAGAAUUAUAAUAAAACCAAUACUGACUGUGUACAAACAAAAACCUACGAUGUGAAGAAUCUCAUUUCAGCAGAAAAAGGAAUAGAACAAAAUAGUAAUAAUAGUAAUGGUAAAAAUAGUAGUGGAGAACUAAUCGAACAACGUUAUGAAACAGAAGCUGACACAAAGGAUGAUGUACAUGGAAGUAAACCAAAAUAUGAUAAUGAAAAUAUGCAUACAAUGUCAGCAUUCGAGAGUGAUAUUCAAAAAAAUGAUAAAACGGAAGUAAAAACAACACUAAGUAAUAAAGUGUUGGAUGAUCUAAUAUAUAGUAAUACUAAGAAAAAACAAACACCCAUCUUUACUUCUAAUGAAGAUGUAA